CCUGGGGCAGAUAGCACCAGCAGGAAGGAAUGCCAUCCCAGUGAGCUAGUGGGGCCCAGGGGCAACGUCACGCUAGUCCCACCUCCUUGCUGUCACAGGUGCAGCCUGUCUUGUCCUUCCCCUGACCAACCCAGCAUCCACACAGUCUACACAGAGUUCCUCUUGCUGCCCAGACAAGCUAAAGGACCACAGGAAAAGCCAUGGAGACUUCAGCAUCACCCUCCCAGCCUCAAGAUAACAGUCAAGUCCACAGAGAAACAGAAGAUCUAGACUAUGGAGAGACAGAUUUCCACAAGCAAGAUGGGAAGGCUGGACUAUUUUCCCAAGAACAAUAUGAGAGAGACAAGUCUUCUUCCUCCUCCUCCUCUUCCUCCUCAUCCUCUUCUUCCUCCUCCUCCUCAGGUAUAGCAAAGAUUUAAAUAUAUGUGCAUUAUUCAAGAAAAAGAUUUACAUGGGGAAACAAUCCCCCAUACUUGAAGUCAUUGAAGUAUUUGAAACUCCAAUACUGUUUCUCCACAUUCUCUUCUAGAGUCGAUCUGUCC
Piliocolobus tephrosceles (Ugandan red Colobus) is the source of this 542-nucleotide long non-coding RNA. RefSeq lists it as uncharacterized. The record is from RefSeq and is a predicted model, not a curated record. Lineage: Eukaryota; Metazoa; Chordata; Mammalia; Primates; Cercopithecidae. The transcript is spliced from 3 exons.